UACGGAGGGUGCGAGCGUUGUCCGGAAUCACUGGGCGUAAAGGGCGCGUAGGCGGCCUGAUAAGUCGGGGGUGAAAGUCAGCGGCUCAACCGCUGGACUGCCUUCGAGACUGUCGGGCUUGAGCAUGGUAGAGGCUGGCGGAAUUCCCGGUGUAGCGGUGGAAUGCGUAGAGAUCGGGAAGAACAUCGGUGGCGAAGGCGGCCAGCUGGGCCAUUGCUGACGCUGAGGCGCGACAGCGUGGGGAGCAAACAGG
Molecule: ribosomal RNA, 253 nt
Filed under: uncultured bacterium
Lineage: Bacteria
Description: partial 16S ribosomal RNA
Rfam family: Bacterial small subunit ribosomal RNA
Source: RNAcentral